RNAcentral lists this ribosomal RNA (265 nucleotides) under uncultured archaeon. RNAcentral's name for it is "partial 16S ribosomal RNA". It matches the Rfam family "Bacterial small subunit ribosomal RNA", at positions 661 to 924 of the family's 1533-position model. The record is from RNAcentral.
GUGGAAUUUCAGGUGUAGCGGUGAAAUGCGUAGAUAUCUGAAGGAACACCAGUGGCGAAGGCGGCCUCCUGGCCUAUCCCUGACGCUAAGACACGAAAGCUAGGGGAGCAAACGGGAUUAGAAACCCCGGUAGUCCUAGCUGUAAACGAUGCAGACUUGGUGUUGGUGGUUUAAUAGCCAUCAGUGCCGAAGCUAACGCGGUAAGUCUGCCGCCUGGGGACUACGACCGCAAGGUUAAAACUCAAAGGAAUUGGCGGGGGAGCAC